AGCGUAGACGGAUGGACAAGUCUGACGUGAAAGGCUGGGGGCUCAACCCCCGGGGACUGCAUUGGAAACUGCCCGUCUUGAGUGCCGGAGAGGUAAGCGGAAUUCCUAGUGUAGCGGUGAAAUGCGUAGAUAUUAGGAGGAACACCAGUGGCGAAGGCGGCUUACUGGACGGUAACUGACGCUGAGGCUCGAAAGCCAGGGGAGCGAACG
This 210-nucleotide ribosomal RNA is filed under the name uncultured bacterium. RNAcentral describes it as "partial 16S ribosomal RNA". It matches the Rfam family "Bacterial small subunit ribosomal RNA", at positions 568 to 774 of the family's 1533-position model. The record is from RNAcentral.